AGCUCUGGCUUCCCCGA
This 17-nucleotide unclassified non-coding RNA is filed under the name Mus musculus (house mouse). RNAcentral describes it as "oocyte_clustered_small_RNA1378". The record is from RNAcentral. Lineage: Eukaryota; Metazoa; Chordata; Mammalia; Rodentia; Muridae.